UACGUAGGUGGCAAGCGUUGUCCGGAUUUACUGGGCGUAAAGAGCGCGCAGGCGGUCGUUCAAGUCGCGUGUGAAAGCCCCCGGCUCAACUGGGGAGGGUCACGCGAUACUGAUCGACUCGAAGGCAGGGGAGGGUAGUGGAAUUCCCGGUGCAGUGGUGAAAUGCGUAGAUAUCGGGAGGAACACCAGUGGCGAAGGCGACUACCUGGCCUGUUUCUUGACGCUGAGGCGCGGAAGCUAGGGGAGCAAACGGG
RNAcentral lists this ribosomal RNA (254 nucleotides) under uncultured bacterium. RNAcentral's name for it is "partial 16S ribosomal RNA". It matches the Rfam family "Bacterial small subunit ribosomal RNA", at positions 524 to 776 of the family's 1533-position model. The record is from RNAcentral.